GCGGAUGUGGCGGAAUUGGCAGACGCGCUAGACUAAGGAUCUAGUGGUUACUAUACGACCUUGCGGGUUCAAGUCCCGCCGUCCGCA
Molecule: transfer RNA, 87 nt
Filed under: Bacillota bacterium
Lineage: Bacteria; Bacillati; Bacillota
Description: tRNA-Leu
Rfam family: tRNA
About the family: Transfer RNA (tRNA) molecules are approximately 80 nucleotides in length.
Source: RNAcentral